AGAGUUUGAUCCUGGCUCANAGCGAACGCUGGCGGCGUGCCUAACACAUGCAAGUCGAGCGGACUGCAAGGAGGGGUAACUCUUCUUGCAGUUAGCGGCGAACGGGUGAGUAACACGUGGGUAACCUGCCCUUAGGAGAGGGAUAACUUGGGGAAACCUAAGCUAAUACCUCAUAAGACCACGGACUGAAAUGUCAGUGGUAAAAGGAGCAAUCCACCUAAGGAUGGGCCCGCGGCCUAUCAGGUAGUUGGUAGGGUAAUGGCCUACCAAGCCUAUGACGGGUAGCCGGGCUGAGAGGCUGACCGGCCACAUUGGGACUGAGACACGGCCCAGACUCCUACGGGAGGCAGCAGUGGGGAAUAUUGGGCAAUGGGCGAAAGCCUGACCCAGCGACGCCGCGUGGGGGAAGAAGGCCUUCGGGUUGUAAACCCCUUUUGCAGGGGACGACACAGGACGGUACCCUGCGAAUAAGCCACGGCUAACUCUGUGCCAGCAGCCGCGGUAAGACGGAGGGGGCAAGCGUUGUCCGGACUCACUGGGCGUAAAGCGUGCGUAGGUGGUUGGAUGCGUCGGCGCUGAAAGCACCCGGCUUAACCGGGUGAGGGGCGGCGAUACGAUCCGACUGGAGGCAGGGAGACGUUGGCANAAUUCCGGGUGUAGUGGUGAAAUGCGUAAAGAUCCGGAAGNAAUGCCGGUGGCGCAAGCGGCCAACGAGUCCUGUCCUGACACUGAGGCACGAAAGCGUGGGGAACNAACCGGAUUAAAUACCCGGGUAGUCCNC
This 781-nucleotide ribosomal RNA is filed under the name uncultured bacterium. RNAcentral's name for it is "bacterial SSU rRNA". It matches the Rfam family "Bacterial small subunit ribosomal RNA", at positions 8 to 798 of the family's 1533-position model. The record is from RNAcentral.